AUUGGUGCUUGCAUCAUGAUUUACAUUUGAGUGAGUGGCGAACUGGUGAGUAACACGUGGGAAACCUGCCCAGAAGCGGGGGAUAACACCUGGAAACAGAUGCUAAUACCGCAUAACAACUUGGACCGCAUGGUCCGAGUUGAAAGAUGGCUUCGGCUAUCACUUUUGGAUGGUCCCGCGGCGUAUUAGCUAGAUGGUGGGUAACGGCUCACCAUGGCAAUGAUACGUAGCCGACCUGAGAGGGUAAUCGGCCACAUUGGGACUGAGACACGGCCCAAACUCCUACGGGAGGCAGCAGUAGGGAAUCUUCCACAAUGGACGAAAGUCUGAUGGAGCAACGCCGCGUGAGUGAAGAAGGGUUUCGGCUCGUAAAACUCUGUUGUUAAAGAAGAACAUAUCUGAGAGUAACUGUUCAGGUAUUGACGGUAUUUAACCAGAAAGCCACGGCUAACUACGUGCCAGCAGCCGCGGUAAUACGUAGGUGGCAAGCGUUGUCCGGAUUUAUUGGGCGUAAAGCGAGCGCAGGCGGUUUUUUAAGUCUGAUGUGAAAGCCUUCGGCUCAACCGAAGAAGUGCAUCGGAAACUGGGAAACUUGAGUGCAGAAGAGGACAGUGGAACUCCAUGUGUAGCGGUGAAAUGCGUAGAUAUAUGGAAGAACACCAGUGGCGAAGGCGGCUGUCUGGUCUGUAACUGACGCUGAGGCUCGAAAGUAUGGGUAGCAAACAGGAUUAGAUACCCUGGUAGUCCAUACCGUAAACGAUGAAUGCUAAGUGUUGGAGGGUUUCCGCCCUUCAGUGCUGCAGCUAACGCAUUAAGCAUUCCGCCUGGAGAGUACGGCCGCAAGGCUGAAACUNNAGGAAUUGACGGGGCCCGCACAAGCGGUGGAGCAUGUGGUUUAAUUCGAAGCUACGCGAAGAACCUUACCAAGUCU
This 931-nucleotide ribosomal RNA is filed under the name Lactiplantibacillus plantarum. Its description in RNAcentral is "bacterial SSU rRNA". It matches the Rfam family "Bacterial small subunit ribosomal RNA", at positions 69 to 981 of the family's 1533-position model. The record is from RNAcentral. Lineage: Bacteria; Bacillati; Bacillota; Bacilli; Lactobacillales; Lactobacillaceae.